Molecule: long non-coding RNA, 2369 nt
Organism: Vicia villosa (hairy vetch)
Lineage: Eukaryota; Viridiplantae; Streptophyta; Magnoliopsida; Fabales; Fabaceae
Exons: 2
Source: RefSeq, a predicted model, not a curated record
AACAGUGAAAAUGGGAUUGUGAAGAGUAACUGGGCGUAGGGCCCAACCAGGAUAGCCCAACAGAGUUUGUUUUUUGUUCAUGUUUUCUCAGCACACCAAAAAUGGUGCAUAUGGGCCUUCAGGGGUGUAGGAAGCAAUUGGCCCAAGAGCAUUUCCUUGUAUUGAUCCAGUUAUUGUUAUUCAGAAUAAUUAAAUUAAAAGAAAAACAAAUAAUUAGAAAAAAGAAAAGUAAACGAAAGAUGGAAAUUAGGUUUGUACAUUGUGACCUUUGGGAUUAUUGAAGAGCGACGUUCUCCUUCCUCGCAAGACCAAACGGCGGCCGGAUACUCUCUUCACUCAACCGUCACCGCGAACAACGACGCCGCUUUUCGUUCCCAUCUUACUCGCGUUCUCACUCCGAUCUCUUCCUUCUCUAAUCCGAAAUCACACUCUCCAUGCUCGAUUCGACCGGAGAAGCUUAGGUGACGAUGAAGAUGAACUGAAGUCCAGAGGAUCUCACACUUUUAAGUCUUCGAUUCCUAGUCUCCGAAUCAAACUCCUUCAGCUCUUCUUUCCUUUUUUAUUGCGCUUCCUUUCUUGAAUCAGAUCGAAAGAUUAUUGAUGACGAGGGUUGCGAUGUUGCGAUUGAUGAUUGAAGGUUGCUGAUGCGAUGAUGAAGAAAGACGAGUUGAGAGUUGAAGAUUGAGGCGCCAAGGAGAUAGUUCAAGUUCAGAUUGUGAAAGAUGCAAGCUAUGAUGAUUUGAAGGUUGAAGGGAACGGUUAUGGUGAUUGAUGAAGAUUGGUUCUGGUUUUUGGUUAUGGUUGGAGGAUGGAAGAUGAUGAAGUUAUGAUGGUUAUGGUGAUGAAGUGAAGAGUUAGAGAUGGAGAUGAUGAAUGGUGGGGAAUUGUGGUUCUGAAAGAUGGUGGAGACUGAAAAUGGUGGUGAAGUGAGAAAAGUGAUGGAGAAUGGGAGAUUGAAGAGAGCUUGAAGGUGGUUCAGAGAUGGAAACAGAGUGGAGAUGAGCAAGAAUGGUGGAGGAAACUUUGAAUUGGGUGGAGUUCUGUUUAAAUAGAGAUUGAUGAUGAAGAGAAUUCCCGGUUAUGAGGUGAGUUCAACUCUUGAUUUCAGUUAAUUCCCUCUCCUCCUCCUUUUUCAAAAUUCUGUUAUCUGUUAGAGUUUUGUAACCGACUUUGGGAAGUUAGUUAGGGUUGUUAGUAAGUUACAAGGUUGUUAGAGGUGGUUAAAUCAGUUAGAGAAAUUAGGGAGAGGUUAGAAUUCUGUUGUAACUGUUAGAAGUACUAGGUAGUUAUGAUUCAGUUAGUGAUGGUUGGAAGUUGGUUAUAACAGGUUGUUAGAAACUGUUAGGGGAAAUUAGAUUUCUGUUUUGGUGGUUGGUAUUUGAAAGUUUGUUACAUAAAGUUAGUUAUGCAAUUGGAAAUUGGUUGAAGGGUUUUGUUAGUUUUUUUGACAGUUGGGAAAGGUUUGUAAAACAGUUAGAGGGUUAGGACUAGUUGAGUUUAGGGAAAUUCAGAGUUGGGUAUCCUGAAACAGAACUCUUCUUCGGACCGAUACCGGUUAUGUGAUGCGUAUGGCUGCCCUGAAAUUGUUUGUGUGGUAAGACAUUGGUGUUAAACUGCAUCUUGAUUUGAAUUCUUUACUUUUUGAGUUUGCAGUUAGUCGCAUUCAGUAUGUGAGCUUGUACUGUCGUGACGAUAUAGCAUGUGUACCACAAUACUUGCUGAACCGUUUCUGCUGUCAUGAUGUGUUCAGAGCCAUUUGAAGGCAUGGUACAUUUUGUUAGGAUAGGUAUCGCUACUGGCUUUUGCAUACGUAGAGUUAGGAGAAUUUGCAUAUAGUUUAAUGAAAUACAAAGAUACCGUAGCAGAAAGAAAGUCCAUCUUCAAACUUGAUCACAAAACUGAACAGGACAAGUACAGUCAAAGAACCCAUUUCUUGAACUAAUGUUCCAAUUGCUAGGUGUUUUCUACAUGUGGCAGUAAUGGUUAGGCAAUAGAAUUUGAAUGGUAUGUUAAUGUGAUACAUGACAUGGGUUGUUUCUUUGGAUUGACUUGGUGAUACUUUUGUAUUUUAUGAAUGGCAGGUUGCAAAUUGGCAAGAGCGUGAGGUGCGGAUUGCGGCACAUAUGGAGUUACUUGGCUCAUGAAAAUAAUUUGGAGAUAACUUGAAGAACUGAAGAUUUAGGGACAGUAGGCUUCUAGGAAAUUUGUUUGACUUUUGGUCAACAUGGAUUUUCAUGUAGCUUCCUGUUCCCUUUUGUAACAGAACAGUUUUGUAAUUGAAUUCCUUGUAGUAUGUGAUUGAACUUGAGUCUGACUUUGUAUUUCAAAUAAUAAUAAAAUGAAUGAUUUCCCUUCUUUGUUGAAUAAAA